Molecule: ribosomal RNA, 468 nt
Filed under: uncultured bacterium
Lineage: Bacteria
Description: bacterial SSU rRNA
Rfam family: Bacterial small subunit ribosomal RNA
Source: RNAcentral
CUGGCGGCAUGCCUAACACAUGCAAGUCGAACGGAGUAUUUGGAUUCGUCUGGAUAACUUAGUGGCGGACGGGUGAGUAACACGUGAGCAACCUGCCCUUCAGAGGGGGACAACAGUUGGAAACGACUGCUAAUACCGCAUAACAUAUACUUGAGGCAUCUUGAGUAUAUCAAAGAUUUAUCGCUGAGGAAUGGGCUCGCGUCUGAUUAGAUAGUUGGUGAGGUAACGGCCCACCAAGUCUACGAUCAGUAGCCGGACUGAGAGGUUGAACGGCCACAUUGGGACUGAGAUACGGCCCAGACUCCUACGGGAGGCAGCAGUGGGGAAUAUUGGUCAAUGGGGGCAAACCCCUGAACCAGCAAUGCCGCGUGAAGGAAGAAGGCCUUCGGGUUGUAAACUUCUUUGACCAGGGACGAUAAUGACGGUACCUGGAAAACAAGCCACGGCUAACUACGUGCCAGCAGCGGC